Molecule: ribosomal RNA, 253 nt
Filed under: uncultured bacterium
Lineage: Bacteria
Description: partial 16S ribosomal RNA
Rfam family: Bacterial small subunit ribosomal RNA
Source: RNAcentral
UACGUAGGGGCCGAGCGUUGUCCGGAUUCAUUGGGCGUAAAGAGCUCGUAGGCGGCUGUUCAAGUCGAACGUGAAAACUCGGAGCUCAACUCCGAGCCUGCGUUCGAUACUGGACGGCUAGAGUCUGGUAGGGGGAUCUGGAAUUCCUGGUGUAGCGGUGAAAUGCGCAGAUAUCAGGAGGAACACCGAUGGCGAAGGCAGCUUACUGGGCCGAUACUGACGCUGAGGAGCGAAAGCGUGGGGAGCGAACAGG